AUUGAACGCUGGCGGCAGGCCUAACACAUGCAAGUCGAACGAGUGGCGGACGGGUGAGUAAUGUCUGGGAAACUGCCCGAUGGUGGGGGAUAACUCCUGGAAACGGUAGCUAAUACCGCAUACCAUCGGAUGUGCCCAGAUGGGAUUAGCUAGUAGGUGGUGUAACGUCUCACCUAGGCGACGAUCCCUAGCUGGUCUGAGAGGAUGACCGGCCACACUGAAACUGAGACACGGGCCAGACUCCUACGGUAGGCACGAGUGGGGAAUAUUGCGCAAUGGGCGCAAGCCUGAUGCAGCCAUGCCGCGUGUAUGAAGAAGGCCUUCGGGUUAUAAAGUACUUUCAGCGAGGAGGCGUUACUCGCAGAAGAAGCACCGGCUAACUCCGUGCCAGCAGCCGCGGUAAUAC
RNAcentral lists this ribosomal RNA (406 nucleotides) under uncultured bacterium. Its description in RNAcentral is "partial 16S ribosomal RNA". It matches the Rfam family "Bacterial small subunit ribosomal RNA", at positions 30 to 526 of the family's 1533-position model. The record is from RNAcentral.